Caenorhabditis elegans is the source of this 155-nucleotide non-coding RNA. NCBI's taxonomy places the organism in Eukaryota, Metazoa, Nematoda, Chromadorea, Rhabditida, Rhabditidae. The record is from Ensembl.
GUCCAAAAUUUUGCAUUUUGUUGUGCUGGUUUCCAUCAGACAUUCGAGAGUACAGACACGACAAGGAUCUACGAAAGAUCAUAAAAAAUCGAGGAAUCAGACUGACGUAGUUUUGUUUAUUUGCAGAGGACUGUAUUGGAGACAACGAAACGAAC